UUGACUUUUAAAAAUUUGAAAUUUUAAAACUAGCUAUUAAGGCUUCUGGAUCCUUAAGUUGCGGUGAAGUACCGAUGCAUGUUAAAAAAAAUAAUAAUAAUAAUAUAUGGAAUAAC
This is a long non-coding RNA of Melitaea cinxia (Glanville fritillary), 116 nucleotides long. RefSeq lists it as uncharacterized. The transcript has 3 exons. Lineage: Eukaryota; Metazoa; Arthropoda; Insecta; Lepidoptera; Nymphalidae. The record is from RefSeq and is a predicted model, not a curated record.